GCCUACGGGGGGCAGCAGUAGGGAAUCUUCCACAAUGGGCGCAAGCCUGAUGGAGCAACACCGCGUGAGUGAAGAAGGGUUUCGGCUCGUAAAGCUCUGUUGUUGGAGAAGAAUGUGCGCGAGAGUAACUGUUCACGCAGUGACGGUAUCUAACCAGAAAGCCACGGCUAACUACGUGCCAGCAGCCGCGGUAAUGCGUAGGGGGCAAGCGUUAUCCGGAUUUUUUGGGCGUAAAGGGAACGCAGGCGGGCUUUUAAGUCUGUUGUGAAAGCCUUCGGCUUAAAC
Molecule: ribosomal RNA, 285 nt
Filed under: uncultured bacterium
Lineage: Bacteria
Description: partial 16S ribosomal RNA
Rfam family: Bacterial small subunit ribosomal RNA
Source: RNAcentral